Molecule: long non-coding RNA, 349 nt
Filed under: Carica papaya (papaya)
Lineage: Eukaryota; Viridiplantae; Streptophyta; Magnoliopsida; Brassicales; Caricaceae
Description: long non-coding RNA (CPAP_LNC012811)
Source: RNAcentral
AACACUCAACCACAACGUGAGUCGGAGGAGCCGCCGCACCGGAGAGCCCCGCCGCCGGUGAGUUUUAGUUUUUUGUAUUUUUUCGGCCCACCGAGGCCCUUUAGCAUGUGUGCUCGCAGGAAUCGAUAUAAAAUCGACCGAAUUUGACCGAAAACAACCGACCCGAGGCGGACUGCCGCUGCGGGUGGCGCCGCUGUGCCAGAUUUUUGAAAUUGGCCGAGUGGGACUUGGGACUGAUUUUGGGUUUAUUUGGAACAUUUGUAGGUAUUAUAAGCGCGUUUUAGUUUCUGAAAAAAAUUUCAGGGGACCCAGGGACCACCCGUAGGCACAGUAAACCGUUUAGCUUUUC